RNAcentral lists this small RNA (785 nucleotides) under Histoplasma ohiense. RNAcentral's name for it is "hypothetical lncRNA". The record is from RNAcentral. Lineage: Eukaryota; Fungi; Ascomycota; Eurotiomycetes; Onygenales; Ajellomycetaceae.
CCCAUUUAGUUUUACGAACGAUAAAUGAUUUAGAAAAUUCGAAGUAAAUCAAUUCCCUUUUUAAUGCUGUUUGCACAAUCUGACCCAAAGGAGAGCUUAUCCCGCUGGAUCCACGGCGCUAAUAACUGCGUAGUGGGGACGAGGUCCAUCCCGCUUUCUCGGUGGUUCCGAAGAGUGAAAGCUUGAUGUCAAUACAAGAACCAACUGAGCUGCCUGGAGUCUCUAGUUGCUAGCAUAUAAUUCAUUCUACUUUCUCAUUUCGUUAUUGUACCACGCCAUUAUACUUACAUUUCUCUUGAAGUCCUUGCAAUCCAAUCACAUUUACCCCACCAAACAUUCCUCCACAACCAUGCCAUCAGAUCUAGAGCAACUCAUCGAGAUGGGCUUUGAUACGGAAAGGGCUCAGUUAGCAACCUCCAGAACAGGAGGCUUGCAAGGAGCACUCGAAUGGCUUGAGGCCAACCAAGACAAAUCCCUCGACGAGAUCAAAGCUUCCUCCACAACACAGCCGGGCGCAGAUCCAGAUGAGCCACCAGCGUUAAAACCGGGGGAAGAAGCGAGAAGUCUUGUCUGUAACGAGUGUGGGAAGCGAUUCCGCAGCCAGGCCCAAGCUGAAUUUCACGCAUCGAAAACUGAACAUGUUGACUUCGCGGAAUCGACUGAGGAAAUUGCCCCGCUGACGGAGGAGGAGAAGAAGGCUAAACUUGAGGAGUUACGGCAGAAGUUAGCCGCAAAAAAGGCGCAGAGGUCGGAACAGGAUAAAAUUGAUCAGAAACGGAAUGAGG